UACGGGGGGGGCAAGCGUUGUUCGGAAUUACUGGGCGUAAAGGGCUCGUAGGUGGCCAACUAAGUCGGACGUGAAAUCCCUCGGCUUAACCGGGGAACUGCAUCCGAUACUGGAUGGCUUGAGUUCGGGAUAGGGAUGCGGAAUUCCAGGUGUAGCGGUGAAAUGCGUAGAUAUCUGGAGGAACACCGGUGGCGAAGGCGGCAUCCUGGACCGACACUGACGCUGAGGAGCGAAAGCCAGGGGAGCAAACGGG
RNAcentral lists this ribosomal RNA (253 nucleotides) under uncultured bacterium. RNAcentral's name for it is "partial 16S ribosomal RNA". It matches the Rfam family "Bacterial small subunit ribosomal RNA", at positions 524 to 776 of the family's 1533-position model. The record is from RNAcentral.